This 270-nucleotide ribosomal RNA is filed under the name uncultured archaeon. RNAcentral's name for it is "partial 16S ribosomal RNA". It matches the Rfam family "Archaeal small subunit ribosomal RNA", at positions 477 to 747 of the family's 1478-position model. The record is from RNAcentral.
CAGCACCUCAAGUGGUCAGGAUGAUUAUUGGGCCUAAAGCAUCCGUAGCCGGCGCUGUAAGUUUUCGGUUAAAUCUGUACGCUCAACGUACAGGCUGCCGGGAAUACUGCAGCGCUAGGGAGUGGGAGAGGUAGACGGUACUUGGUAGGAAGGGGUAAAAUCCUUUGAUCUAUUGAUGACCACCUGUGGCGAAGGCGGUCUACCAGAACACGUCCGACGGUGAGGGAUGAAAGCUGGGGGAGCAAACCGGAUUAGAUACCCGAGUAGUCC